CACCGCGGUUAUACGAUACGCCCAAGUUGACAGUCCUCGGCAUAAAGCGUGGUUAAUUGACACUAAGACUAAAGUCGAACCUCUUCAAGUCUGUCAAAAGCCUCCGAAGAUGGGAAGCCCAACAACGAAAGUGACUUUAAAAUUAAUGAACCCACGAAAGCUAUGAAA
RNAcentral lists this ribosomal RNA (168 nucleotides) under Trimma stobbsi (yellowhead dwarfgoby). RNAcentral's name for it is "partial 12S rRNA". The record is from RNAcentral. Lineage: Eukaryota; Metazoa; Chordata; Actinopteri; Gobiiformes; Gobiidae.